RNAcentral lists this ribosomal RNA (445 nucleotides) under uncultured bacterium. RNAcentral describes it as "bacterial SSU rRNA". It matches the Rfam family "Bacterial small subunit ribosomal RNA", at positions 354 to 796 of the family's 1533-position model. The record is from RNAcentral.
GUGAGGAAUAUUGCGCAAUGCCCGAAAGGGUGACGCAGCGACGCCGCGUGGAGGAUGAAGGCCCUCUGGGUUGUAAACUCCUGUUGGAGGGGAUGAAUUUCCCGAUUCUGUCGGGAUUGACCGUACCCUCCGAGGAAGCCACGGCUAACUACGUGCCAGCAGCCGCGGUAAUACGUAGGUGGCGAGCGUUGUCCGGAAUCACUGGGUGUAAAGGGCGCGUAGGCGGAUUGGUAAGUCGGAGGUGAAAUCUUACAGCUCAACUGUAAAACUGCUUUCGAUACUGCUGAUCUUGAGUACGGAAGAGGGUGAUGGAAUUCCUGGUGUAGCGGUGAAAUGCGUAGAUAUCAGGAAGAACACCGGUCGCGAAGGCGGUCACCUGGUCCGUAACUGACGCUCAGUGCGCGAAAGCGUGGGUAGCAAACAGGAUUAGAUACCCCUGUAGUCC